RNAcentral lists this ribosomal RNA (399 nucleotides) under Sarocladium strictum. RNAcentral's name for it is "partial small subunit ribosomal RNA". It matches the Rfam family "Eukaryotic small subunit ribosomal RNA", at positions 30 to 432 of the family's 1831-position model. The record is from RNAcentral. Lineage: Eukaryota; Fungi; Ascomycota; Sordariomycetes; Hypocreales; Sarocladiaceae.
GCUUGUCUCAAAGAUUAAGCCAUGCAUGUCUAAGUAUAAGCACUUUAUACUGUGAAACUGCGAAUGGCUCAUUAAAUCAGUUAUAGUUUAUUUGAUACUACCUUACUACUUGGAUAACCGUGGUAAUUCUAGUGCUAAUACAUGCAACGAUCCCCGACUUUUGAAGGGGUGUAUUUAUUAGAUACAAAACCAAUGCCCUUCGGGGCUCCUUGGUGAUUCAUGAUAACUAUACGAAUCGCACGGCCUUGCGCCGGCGAUGGUUCAUUCAAAUUUCUUCCCUAUCAACUUUCGAUGUUUGGGUAUUGGCCAAACAUGGUUGCAACGGGUAACGGAGGGUUAGGGCUCGACCCCGGAGAAGGAGCCUGAGAAACGGCUACUACAUCCAAGGAAGGCAGCAGG